AAAGAAACUAACAAGGAUUCCCCUAGUAACUGCGAGUGAAGCGGGAAAAGCUCAAAUUUAAAAUCUGGCGGUCUUAUGGCCGUCCGAGUUGUAAUCUGGAGAAGUGUUUUCCGCGUCGGACCGUGUACAAGUCUCCUGGAACGGAGCGUCAUAGAGGGUGAGAAUCCCGUCCAUGACACGGACCGCCGAUGCUUUGUGAUACACUCUCGAAGAGUCGAGUUGUUUGGGAAUGCAGCUCAAAAUGGGUGGUAAAUUCCAUCUAAAGCUAAAUAUUGGCGAGAGACCGAUAGCGAACAAGUACCGUGAGGGAAAGAUGAAAAGCACUUUGGAAAGAGAGUUAAACAGUACGUGAAAUUGUUGAAAGGGAAACGCUUGAAGUCAGUCGCGUCUUUCAGAACUCAGCCUUGCUUCGGCCUGGUGUACUUUCUGUUAGACGGGUCAACGUCAAUUUCGGUCGGCGGAGAAAGGUUGAGGGAAUGUAGCGUUGUUUCGGCGACGUGUUAUAGCCCUGUUCUGUAUACGUCGGUUGGGAUUGAGGACCGCAGCGCGCCUUUAAUGGCCAGGGGUUCGCCCCAUGUACCGCGCUUAGGAUGUUGGCAUAAUGGCUUUAAGCGAC
This 616-nucleotide ribosomal RNA is filed under the name Porodaedalea pini. RNAcentral's name for it is "eukaryotic LSU rRNA". It matches the Rfam family "Eukaryotic large subunit ribosomal RNA", at positions 58 to 648 of the family's 3401-position model. The record is from RNAcentral. Lineage: Eukaryota; Fungi; Basidiomycota; Agaricomycetes; Hymenochaetales; Hymenochaetaceae.